AGAACGAACGCUGGCGGCAUGCCUAACACAUGCAAGUCGAACGAGACCUUCGGGUCUAGUGGCGCGCGGGUGCGUAACGCGUGGGAAUCUGCCCUUGGGUUCGGGAUAACAGUUGGAAACGACUGCUAAUACCGGAUGAUGACUUCGGUCCAAAGAUUUAUCGCCCAGGGAUGAGCCCGCGUAGGAUUAGCUAGUUGGUGAGGUAAAGGCUCACCAAGGCGACGAUCCUUAGCUGGUCUGAGAGGAUGAUCAGCCACACUGGGACUGAGACACGGCCCAGACUCCUACGGGAGGCAGCGAGUGGGGAAUAUUAGGACAAUGGGACGAAAGCCUGAUCCAGCAAUGCCGCGUGAGUGAUGGAAGGUCCUUAAGGUUGUAAAGCUCGUUUUACCCGGGAUGAUAAUGACGAGGUACGGAG
RNAcentral lists this ribosomal RNA (418 nucleotides) under uncultured soil bacterium. RNAcentral describes it as "bacterial SSU rRNA". It matches the Rfam family "Bacterial small subunit ribosomal RNA", at positions 26 to 465 of the family's 1533-position model. The record is from RNAcentral.